RNAcentral lists this ribosomal RNA (460 nucleotides) under uncultured bacterium. RNAcentral's name for it is "partial 16S ribosomal RNA". It matches the Rfam family "Bacterial small subunit ribosomal RNA", at positions 338 to 795 of the family's 1533-position model. The record is from RNAcentral.
CCUACGGGAGGCUGCAGUGAGGAAUAUUGGUCAAUGGGCGCUAGCCUGAACCAGCCAAGUAGCGUGAAGGAUGACUGCCCUAUGGGUUGUAAACUUCUUUUAUAUGGGAAUAAAGUGCAGUAUGUAUACUGCUUUGCAUGUACCUAAUGAAUAAGGAUCGGCUAACUACGUGCCAGCAGCCGCGGUAAUACGGAGGGUCCGAGCGUUAUCCGGAUUUAUUGGGUUUAAAGGGAGCGUAGGUGGGUUGUUAAGUCAGUUGUGAAAGUUUGCGGCUCAACCGUAAGAUUGCAGUUGAUACUGGCAUCCUUGAGUACAGUAGAGGUAGGCGGAAUUCGUAGUGUAGCGGUGAAAUGCGUAGAUAUCACGAAGAACUCCGAUUGCGAAGGCAGCCUGCUGGACUGUAACUGACGCUGAUGCUCGAAAGUGUGGGUAGCAAACAGGAUUAGAUACCCGAGUAGUC